Molecule: long non-coding RNA, 637 nt
Organism: Monodelphis domestica (gray short-tailed opossum)
Lineage: Eukaryota; Metazoa; Chordata; Mammalia; Didelphimorphia; Didelphidae
Source: RefSeq, a predicted model, not a curated record
UCUCUCUCUCUCUCUCUCUCUCUCCCUUCUGUGUCUCUCAUAUCAGACUGUAAGGUAUGCCUAUUGGUCUCCCAUUAGGAGCUUUGGAGCAUCAGAUAAUCCUAGAGAUCAUCUCUAAUGGUCCAGCUCUGUGGCAGUCCUUGAGCCAACAAAACAUCGAAGGACAUCAGAUGAUGGCUAGCCUUGAUUUAGCACUCUAAAGUUUGCAAAGCACUUUACAAAUAUUAUUUCAUUUCAUCCUCACAACAAACCUGGAGGUACCACCCAAAUGACCUAUCAAAGCUCUGGAGGUCUGCCUGAAACAUAUUAAAAAGUAAUUAUAUGAAGCAAUGCAAAGUGAAGUGAGCAGAACAAGGAGGAUGUGAUACACAGCAACAGCAAUAAUAUAUGAAGAUCAUCUGUAAGUGAAUAAAUAUUAUAUGCAAUUUAAAGAUCUAGGAUCACUCCAAGGGACUCAUGACAAAAAAGUGCAUCUACCACCAUAGAAGGAAAAAAUGGAGUUUGAAUGCAGAUUGAAACAUACCAAUCUUCACUUUGUUUCCUCAAUAAAUUUUUUCUAGCAUAAAUGAUAUGAAUCUUGUUUUACAACCCAACAAACAGGAAAAUAUGUAUUAUAUGAUAAUAUAUACAUACAACC